AGUGAACGCUGGCGGUAGGCCUAACACAUGCAAGUCGAACGGCAGCACAGUAAGAGCUUGCUCUUACGGGUGGCGAGUGGCGGACGGGUGAGGAAUACAUCGGAAUCUACUUUUUCGUGGGGGAUAACGUAGGGAAACUUACGCUAAUACCGCAUACGACCUACGGGUGAAAGUAGGGGAUCUUCGCACCUUGCGCGAUUGAAUGAGCCGAUGUCGGAUUAGCUAGUUGGCGGGGUAAAGGCACACCAAGGCGACGAUACGUAGCUGGUCUGAGAGGAUGAUCAGCCACACUGGAACUGAGACACGGUCCAGACUCCUACGGGAGGCAGCAGUGGGGAAUAUUGGACAAUGGGCGCAAGCCUGAUCCAGCCAUACCGCGUGGGUGAAGAAGGCCUUCGGGUUGUAAAGCCCUUUUGUUGGGAAAGAAAAGCAGCAGGAGAAUACCCCGCUGUUCUGACGGUACCCAAAGAAUAAGCACCGGCUAACUUCGUG
This 492-nucleotide ribosomal RNA is filed under the name uncultured bacterium. RNAcentral's name for it is "partial 16S ribosomal RNA". It matches the Rfam family "Bacterial small subunit ribosomal RNA", at positions 29 to 507 of the family's 1533-position model. The record is from RNAcentral.